RNAcentral lists this ribosomal RNA (695 nucleotides) under uncultured Candidatus Poseidoniales archaeon. RNAcentral describes it as "bacterial SSU rRNA". It matches the Rfam family "Archaeal small subunit ribosomal RNA", at positions 1 to 703 of the family's 1478-position model. The record is from RNAcentral. Lineage: Archaea; Methanobacteriati; Thermoplasmatota; Candidatus Poseidoniia; Candidatus Poseidoniales.
UUCUGGUUGAUCCUGCCGGAGGCUACCGCUAUUGGAGUUCGAUUAAGCCAUGCGAGUCGAGAGUCUUAGGGACUCGGCGUACCGCUCAGUAACACGUGGGUAACCUGCCCUAUGCUGGGGAAUAACCUCGGGAAACUGAGAAUAAUGCCCCAUAGUCCACAAUGCCUGGAACGGUUUGUGGAUUAAAGCCCCGGCGGCAUAGGAUGGGCCUGCGGCGUAUCAGGUUGUAGGGGGUGUAACGUACCCUCUAGCCAUCAACGCGUACGGGUGUUGGGAGACAUAGCCCGGAGAUGGAUUCUGAGACACGAAUCCAGACCCUACGGGGUGCAGCAGGCGCGAAAACUUGGCAAUGCGAGAAAUCGUGACCAGGGAACUCCAAGUGGCUGGGUAAGACCCAGUCUUUUCUUGACUCUUCAAAGGUCUUGGAAUAAGAGGUGGGUAAGGACGGUGCCAGCCGCCGCGGUAAUACCGGCGCCUCAAGUGGUAGUCGAUUUUAUUGGGCCUAAAACGUCCGUAGCCUGUUUGGUACAUUCGUGGGUAAAUCAACCAGCUCAACUGGUUGAAUUCUGCGAGCACGGCCAGACUUGGGACCGGGAGAGGUGUGGGGUACGCUCAGGGUAGGGGUAAAAUCCUGUCAUCCUGAGCGGACCACCUGUUGCGAAGGCGCCACACUAGAACGGAUCCGACGGUCAGGG